UGGCUACUGUGCCAGCUGGUGAAUGGCUCGGCUCGAGAGCCGAUGAAGGACGUGCCAAGCUGCGAAAAGCUCAUGGGACCCGCAUGGAGGGAAAGAACAUGAGAUUUCCGAAUCGGAAUCCGUUUACAAUUGCCACGCGCAAUAGGGAACUCCCUGAAUUGAAACAUCUCAGUAAGGGAAGGAAAAGAACGCAACCGCGAUGUCGUCAGUAACCGCGAGUAAAAGCGACACAGCCCAAACCGAAGGUCUUCGGACCAAUGUGGUGUUCGGGUUGACAACCAAAACGCGAGCUCUCAUUCGAAGUCUCCUGGAAUGGAGCGUGAAACAGGGUGACAACCCCGUAGAAUGAGGCAGUACCGUCGGCGUCAAUACCAGAGUAGCAGGGGUCGGAUAUCCUCUGUGAACACCUCAGGCAUCCCCUGAGAAGGCUAAACACUCCUCGAGACCGAUAGCGAACAAGUAGCGUGAGCGAACGCUGAAAAGCACCCCGAGAAGGGCGGNAACACUCCUCGAGACCGAUAGCGAACAAGUAGCGUGAGCGAACGCUGAAAAGCACCCCGAGAAGGGCGGUGCAAUAGGGCCUGAAAUCAGUUGGCGAUCGAGCGACAGGGCGUACAAGGCGUCUCUUGAAACGACCGAGAAGCGAUUCUCUAGUAGGAAGAGAGACGAGCCGGCGUCGUGUCGUGCGUUUUGAAAAACGACCCAGGGAGUGCACUUGAUUGGCGAGUCUAACCCGUGAACCGGGGAAGGCGCAGGGAAACCGAUACGGCCGCAACACUAUGUGUGAGGGCCACCGUGUUCAAGCGCGGGGAGUCAAUUGGGUGCGACCCGAAACCAGGCGAUCUAUACGCAGGCAGGGUGAAGCGUGGCGAAAGCCACGUGGAGGCCCGUUAGAGUUGGUAUUCUACAAUAUCCUCUCGUGACUCGUGUGUAGGGGUGAAAGGCCCAUCGAGCCUGGCAACAGCUGGUUCCAACCGAAA
This 980-nucleotide ribosomal RNA is filed under the name Halorubrum distributum JCM 10247. RNAcentral's name for it is "bacterial LSU rRNA". It matches the Rfam family "Archaeal large subunit ribosomal RNA", at positions 1 to 942 of the family's 2987-position model. Lineage: Archaea; Methanobacteriati; Methanobacteriota; Halobacteria; Halobacteriales; Haloferacaceae. The record is from RNAcentral.